UAUACUAUACUAUACAAACAUUCAAAUGUAACAACCAAAUAAUAUCUAUUCAAAAAUGUUAUUUGAACAUCAAUUUUUGACACUUAAAUUCGACAACAUUUAAAUGGUUAACGUAGUUUACACGUAUGGUUAAUGAAAUGUUAGAUUUGGUUAAUAAAUAUAUCAUAUGUCGCAACUCAUUAACUUCAUCAACCACAAAUUUGAACGCGAUUAACCAUGAGUUUCAAGUAUUCAAAUCUGCAUGUAGUUGAAACACCUGAAAUUGUGAUUAAUAACAUUCAAAUUUUGUGGCUAAUAAUUUUCAGUCGAUGAUUAACGAGUUAUCCAAUAACCACUCAUUGCACUAUGUUAACCACUUGUGUGAAACGUGUUAAUCAUUUAAAAUGUUGUCGAAUUUUAGAGUCACGGAUCGAUGUUCAAAUAAAAUUUCUAUAUCUAUCUUCGGUGUUGUAUUGUGCGACAUAAAGCUCUUGCUUACCAUUCUUAACUUCUUUGAUUUUGUAUUCAUGGAACUUUUUAGGGUCUUUAGAGUAUCCCAAAGGAUCAAAAGCACCACCAGGGUAUUUCUUCUUUUCAGGGUCUUUCUCCAUACUCCUUUGGUGCUCAACAAAAGCAAUAGAAAGGAACUCAAUGACCAAAAUGGUGGGUAGGGUGCCCCAUGGAACAGGGUUGCCUAGGUAGGUUGCUUGUCCUCCAGGAAGUGCAGCCCAUUCUUGUGCUUUCACCCAGUUGCCUAAUCCCAAUGCCUCUGGUACCAAAAUCCCUGGCUGCAUGCAUAAUGUGACAAAUUUUAGUAAAUUUUAAUGAAAUGCACUGUCAGUGUAAAAUAGUUUUACAACAAUAUUCGACGAAAACUCGUCACAUUGCCACAUAAACCUAGGUAGGUUUAAACGGUCAAUGGUUGUUGGAUCGAGAUCAAACAGUCUAGAUUUCAAACGGUCCAUCAGAUAGGCCGAUUUAGACCGUUUGAUCUAGACCGUUUCAAACGGUGUAGAUAUUUUCUCGAUCCAACAACCAUUGAUGGGCCGAUUCCAUUAAACCUACCUAAUAUCGAUAUUGAAAACAACUAUGAAGUACAGGAUUCUCAUUGAACAUCCGUGUAAAACUAGUAUACACUGACAGUACAUAUCUCAUUUUUGCGUACAAUCAACUAAUCAGAACCGUUAAAUCAAGACCGGACGGUUUCACGGCUACUAGUUAUAAUACCAAGAGAAAACUAAACUUAUUUUCUUGAAAAGAGAGAUACUUACAACAGCAAGCAUGGCCCAUCUGCAGUGAAUGAGUUCAGACUCUUUGAAUCUCUCAAGAUUCUCAGGUACUUCACCAAGACGUAGAGGAUCAAACCCAAAGUCACUGUAACACAAAACCAUAACAAUAUUCAUACACUAAAUCAUAAUCACAAAACAAAAAAAGAUAAUUUACCUUUAAUUCUUAAAAAUUAUUUUGUAAAUAACUUAAGCUCCCCUAAUAUGAGGAGAGGUGACUAAAAUUUUCUUAGUCAAUUUUCCGCAUUCAUGGAAUCGGCCCAUCAAUAGCCGUUGGAUCGAGAUCAGACUGUCCAUAUUUCAAUAUCAAUAUUAUAGUUUAAAAAAAGAAGUCAAAAUCUACAUUAAAAUAAGGAUUGCUGAUUUUGAUCGAAC
RNAcentral lists this long non-coding RNA (1640 nucleotides) under Medicago truncatula (barrel medic). RNAcentral's name for it is "long non-coding RNA (MTRU_LNC003981)". The record is from RNAcentral. Lineage: Eukaryota; Viridiplantae; Streptophyta; Magnoliopsida; Fabales; Fabaceae.